CUCCCUCGCUAUUUCGACAGCCAACAAUGGCGAAACUGAGGACGUCAAUGGACUUAGCCUUCUGGGACUUGAACGUUUCUUCGCCUCAGACCCUUGAGGACUCCGCCAAGGCCGUUCCCGGCUACCCAUUUCCUCUCGACGGUGCUCGAGCCAGCCGAGCCCUCAGGAUUCAGCAACAAUCUCUUCUGGGAAAUGGGUUCCCUUUGGGUGUUAUACCUUCCGACUCCCCCACUACUAACAGGGACUUGGGUUCUUUUUCUCUCCAGUCCCUCUUGCUCAGACCAGCUACCUCUAACUGUUUGUAGUUUGUAUGGUUACUGAGAAAAUGAUGAGUAAUGGGUGUGAUUCGUUUGUUGUUUGUUUUGUUGCUGGGAAAGUUUGGAGAGAGGAGCAAUUGGAAUUGUUGUUAUAGGGAAUUGGUUAAAGGAAAAAGGUGGCUUGGAUUAAUUGGGCAGUUCUGCCGGAAGAAACUUUUAUCUUCUGUUAAAGCUGAAUUAACUAAUGGUGAGAUGGAGGUCCCUACAUUCAAAGAUGUGGCAAUGCAUGUCUUGGACAAGUCACUUUAUUCGUUUGAAUUAUGUACACAGCUUCUUUUGUCUCCGUCAUCAUCCAUAAAGUUGAGCGCAGAAGGGCAUGGGGAAAGGACGCCACAACAAAUUGGUGCUCUUUCACAAAGCAUGCAUUUGCUUUCCUCGUUUUGACCUUUAAUCAAAUUGUUUAAACAGUCAGAAUUCCUGUUAUCUUUUGUUUGCCGGGUUCAUGAAGCUAGUUUGAAUGAUUUAUGGGUAUUGGAGUUGUUAGGUUUAAGUUCUUCCUGGGGUUUGUUCAUGCCAGGUUGUAGUAUCAUCCUACUGCGAUUUUUUAUCUUUCAUAUGACAAAUUUCUCA
Long non-coding RNA from Pyrus x bretschneideri (Chinese white pear), 887 nucleotides. RefSeq lists it as uncharacterized. NCBI's taxonomy places the organism in Eukaryota, Viridiplantae, Streptophyta, Magnoliopsida, Rosales, Rosaceae. The transcript is spliced from 3 exons. The record is from RefSeq and is a predicted model, not a curated record.